GUUUGAUUCUGGCUCAGAACGAACGCUGGCGGCGUGGAUAAGACAUGCAAGUCGAACGCUGAUACACAGGUAGCAAUAUUUUUGUGUCGGAGUGGCGAAUGGGUGCGUAACACGUGGGUAAUUUACCCUAAGGAUCGGAAUAACUCGUCGAAAGGCGAGCUAAUGCCGGAUGUGACUUGAGGAAGACAUCUUCCUUGAUUUAAAGCUGGGGACCCUUCGGGGCCUGGCGCUUUAGGAUAAGCCCGCGGCCUAUCAGCUUGUUGGUGAGGUAAAGGCUCACCAAGGCUAAGACGGGUAGCUGGUCUGAGAGGACGAUCAGCCACACUGGAACUGAGAUACGGUCCAAACACCUACGGGUGGCAGCAGUCGAGAAUCUUUCACAAUGGGCGAAAGCCUGAUGGAGCGACGCCGCGUGGGGGAUGAAGGUCCUAGGAUCGUAAACCCCUGUCAUCUGUGAGCAAGGCUCGAGUCUUAAUACGAUUCGAGUUGAUAGUAGCAGAAGAGGAAGGGACGGCUAACUCUGUGCCAGCAGCCGCGGUAAUACAGAGGUCCCAAGCGUUGUUCGGAUUCACUGGGCGUAAAGGGUGUGUAGGCGGUAGGAAAAGUUUGGUGUGAAAUCUCCGGGCUCAACCCGGAAACUGCACUGAAUACUCUCUUACUAGAGGAUCGGAGGGGAGACUGGAAUUCUCGGUGUAGCAGUGAAAUGCGUAGAUAUCGAGAGGAACACCAAUAGCGAAGGCAAGUCUCUGGACGAUUCCUGACGCUGAGGCACGAAAGCUAGGGGAGCAAACAGGAUUAGAUGCCCUGGUAGUCCUAGCCGUAAACGGUGCACAUUUGCUGUGGGCGGAUUCGACCCCGUCCGUGGCGUAGCUAACGCGAUAAAUGUGCCGCCUGGGGAGUACGGCCGCAAGGUUAAAACUCAAAGAAAUUGACGGGGGCCUGCACAAGCGGUGGAGUAUGUGGCUUAAUUCGAUCAACGCGAAGAACCUUACCUGGCUUUGACAUGCAAGUGGUAGGAACCUGAAAGGGUGACGACCUCGCAAGAGGAGCUUGCACAGGUGCUGCAUGGCUGUCGUCAGCUCGUGUCGUGAGAUGUUGGGUUAAGUCCCGCAACGAGCGCAACCCUUGUGUCCUGUUGCCACUCCGGUUUCGAUCGGAAGCACUCUGGACAGACUGCCUCGCUUAAACGAGGAGGAAGGUGGGGAUGACGUCAAGUCAGUAUGGCCCUUACGGCCAGGCUGCACACGUACUACAAUGCCCGGCACAGAGGGAAGCAAGACCGCAAGGUGGAGCCAAUCCCUAAAAACCGGGCCCAGUUCGGACUGUCGGCUGCAAUUCGCCGGCAUGAAGUUGGAAUCGCUAGUAAUGGCGCAUCAGCUACGGCGCCGUGAAUACGUUCCCAGGCCUUGUACACACCGCCCGUCACGUCAUGAAAGCCGGUUGUACCCGAAGUCACUGAGCUAACCCGCAAGGGAGGCAGGUGCCUAAGGUGUGGCUGGUGAUUGGGAUGAAGUCGUAACAAGGUA
This 1526-nucleotide ribosomal RNA is filed under the name metagenome. Its description in RNAcentral is "bacterial SSU rRNA". It matches the Rfam family "Bacterial small subunit ribosomal RNA". The record is from RNAcentral.